This 1150-nucleotide long non-coding RNA is filed under the name Homo sapiens (human). RNAcentral's name for it is "HSALNT0391272". Lineage: Eukaryota; Metazoa; Chordata; Mammalia; Primates; Hominidae. The record is from RNAcentral.
UCAGGCUGCUAUAACAAAAUACCAUAGGCUGCAGGGCUUCAACAAUAGACAUUUGUUAAUAUUUCUUCUGAAAGUUGGGAAGUCCAAGAUUGAGGUGCUGGCAGAUUCUGUGUCUAGUGAGGGCCACUUUCUGGCUCGUAGACAACCAUCUUCUCCUUGUGUCCUCACAUGGCAAAAGGAAAGAACUCUGACCAUUUCAGAGUUCUGUGUAAAAGCACUAAUCCCAUUCAUGAAGACUCCACUAUCAUGAUGUAAUUACUUUUCAAAGGCCCUGCCUCCUUAUACCAUCACACUGGGGGGUUAGGGUUGCAGCAUAUGAAUUGGAAACUAGGGAACACAUUUUGUCUAUGGUACUAACCCACAUCCAAUUCAUGAGCAAAUCCAUAGGCUCCACCUUCAACAUUUAUUCAGAAGUUAACUUUGAUCACCACCUCCACAGCCACCAUCUUAGUCCAGGACAUCAUCAUCUCUUACUUGGAUUAUUGCAGUAGCUUAACUUGUCCCCCUGACUGUGCCAUUUCUAAGGCAGUCUGUCCUCAACCCAGCAGCUCUUCUGUCAGUUUGCCAGGACUUAGACUUCUAUGAAUCCAUGAAUGUGGGCUGGCUCUGCGAACACUGCUGUGAAGGCUACAUUUUUUUGCGGACCACCUAGGCACAGUUCUGGAGGCGAGCAAGUCCAAGAUCAAAGCACUGGCAGCUUCUUUGAGGGUCUGUUCCAGUAAAAGCAUCUUCUUGCAACAACAUCCUCACAUGACAGAGGGGGGAAGGGCAACAGGACAUGAAUGCUGUGCCCUCACCUGGUGAAGAGAGGAAGAGCAAAAGGGUCUCAGCUAGCUCCCUCCAGCCCUUUUCUAAGUGCAGAAUUUUAUUGGCUUGUCAUGAAUUUUCAGCAGAAAGUUAACAGACUCGCUCUGUUGCUCAGGCUGGACUGCAGUGGUGUGAUCUUGGCUCACUGCAACCUCUGUCUGCCAGACUCAAGCAAUCCCCCAACCUCAGCCUCCUGAAUAGCUGGAACCACAGCCCUGCUCUGUGAGAACACAGCAAGAAGGCAGCCUUCUAUAAGCCAGAGAGAGAGCCCUCACCAGAAAUCAAAUCAGCUGGCACCUUAUCUUGGACACCAGCCUCCAGAACUGUGAGAAAUAAAUUUCUG